GACGAACGCUGGCGGCGUGGAUUAGGCAUGCAAGUCGAACGGUAUCAUCCUUUCGGGGGUGAGAGAGUGGCGAACUGGUGAGUAACACGUAGGUUAUCUACCCUCAAGACGGGGACAACCCAGGGAAACUUGGGCUAAUACCGGAUGUGAGCAACUUUUAGUUGUUUGAAAGGUGGCGUAAGCUGUCGCUUGGGGAUGAGCCUGCGUCCUAUUAGUUAGUUGGUGAGGUAACGGCUCACCUAGGCAAUGAUAGGUAGGCGGCCUUAACGGGUGGUCGCCCACACUGGGAUUGAGAUACGGCCCAGACUCCUACGGGAGGCAGCAGUCGAGAAUAGUCUACAAUGGUCGGAAGACUGAUAGUGCGACGCCGCGUGAACGAUGAAUCCCUUCGGGGUGUAAAGUUCUUUUAUAUGUGAGCAGUGCUUCUUAUAUUAACAGUAUGGGGAGAGAGAUAUUAGCAUAUGAAUAAGCAACGGCUAACUCCGUAGCCCAGCCAGCCGCGGUAAUCUCG
RNAcentral lists this ribosomal RNA (511 nucleotides) under uncultured bacterium. RNAcentral's name for it is "bacterial SSU rRNA". It matches the Rfam family "Bacterial small subunit ribosomal RNA", at positions 28 to 527 of the family's 1533-position model. The record is from RNAcentral.